UAUCUUGUAGGUAUUUUCUGGCAGCUGCCAGGUCUGAUUGAAAUCCUUUCUUUCUUUAAGCACUUCUUUAUGUUUCUCUCUUUGCUGUUAUGCCUUUGACUUCCACUUGUCCUUCACCCUCCCUAGUCUGAGAAACAUUCCAUGUAUCAGAGGGUUGUGGACUCCCAGGAGAUCCCUGAACUUUAUUUCACCUUUUACUUUUCAGUUCACGUAAAACUGUGAAAUGGUUAAGCCUGACGCUUCCAAGGGAUGUUACAGGUGCUGAAUUGGCAAAACUGAAAAGGUCUUUGAAUCACCCUGUAAAUCUCAUUAAAUGCUCAGCUUCAGAACUACUUUCUGUUUUCUGCUCCAUCAUUUCCAGUAAGUCAAGGGGUUCAAGUCUGGAAGAUGUGUCAUCAGAGGAGACAAGAAAAAUCACUGGUAGCUGUGUUGAAGAGAUGCCAACUUUUAACAAGCAGCGUCUGGUGCUUUCCGGGCCACUCCACGCAUGUGCACUGUGCAGAGAACGAUGAGCUUGUACUCUGCUUGCUUCUGGGAAUCCAGGCUUAGUAACAUUCCUUCUCUCCCCCCUCUGCUUGAGGUGGGUCACCAGGACAUGAGCUUCAUUCACAAAAUUACAUCCAAGCUUCAUCCAGUUCCUCUCUGGCACUGAGUGCAGUUUUCAUCCACGUGGAGAACGGGGGCUCCUCUCUUGCACGGGCUGCAUCCCACGGACACAGUGGCACACAGGGACACAACCAUGGCAAGUCCCACUGAUUCCACACAAGCCUGCUAUUCUGAGACAACAGAGCAGGUGAAUCACUGUUCUCAGGGCUGUGGCCCUCCUUUGUGUGCUGUAUUCUCCAGCCAGCAGGCAGUGCUGACAGUGCCGUGCGUGACACAAUGGGAUAUUAAUGUGUGUGAAGAGCUCAGUGUUGAACCACACACAGAACAGCCUAUAUAUAGCCAGAGGUAGCAGCUUUCUGAACCAGGGUGGCUAUUUUUGUGACCAGUAGCAUGGGGGAAUGAAAAACUCUGCACAGAGAAUGCACUACUCAGGUUGUUGAAGGAUUUGUGUUUCCCUCUGGCCCUGCUCUUCACUGGGGUUUAUUGGAUGGAUACAGCUGCAUACAGCUGUGGUGGUCACGGUCUGAGGCAUCCUCCUCAUCCUGCCCCAGAGGAGAUAUACGGUAUCAGGGGGUGCUAAUGCAGGGGCUAAAGGCCCCUUUGGUCACCCUCCUUCCCUGGCUCAGCAGCCCAUGGCAGGGUUUAGGCUGGUGACUGCUGGGUGGCUGCAGGGAUGAUCAUCAUGCCCAGAACACGAAAGGAGAGCCAGUCCCAGGGCUUUCUGCCAUUGUUUCAGGUGAAAGCACCUUGUGAAAUGUAACUUGUAACACUCCCUUCUUUAUAUCUCCACCAUCAGUUCAUCUGACCCCUAAAAUCAGGCUGGCCAUUAGAGACUAGUCUUGAUGGCAGUUCUGCUACCUUGGUCUGCAGACCUGAGUACCUGGAUAUUUGACAGCUCAUUUCCCCUAAGCUCACAACCACUUCAACCUUUGCUGCCCUUUUUUCAUGGCACUGGCUCAUUUUGUGGUCUGAGGAUCACCUGUUAUGUUCAAUCCAGGCAAAGUUUUUAAUUAAUAUCAUGGAGAGAUGGGAAUGGAAACAUAAAGUAUCAUGUCUAUAAACUGCCAUACAACCGCCAUGCAUGAGAAUGGUAAAAUAAUAGAAAAAAUACAGAACAGAGUCCUGCUGUUUUCUUUUCUGUUUGUUACCUUUACCUAGUGAACUGUAGAGAUGAACUGUUACUAUUCCUCAAAACAAACAUUUACUCAGUUUUGCAAUGUGUCUUUCACAUGUGAGUUAAGGCUCUUGUCCACUCUUUCUCAUAGCUCCACAGUACAAAUUAUACAAAUACAGACAAUAGAGAUCCUUAAAGGUGAGAUUGCACUCAGAAUAUCUUCCUGCUGUCCUGUCACACUGAACUCUCCUUUCCAAACUGGGAUGUGCACAGGCAUAGUCAUAACAGGUAGUCCAAAACAGAAAGAAAGUGCCUCAGGAUGGCUGUAGGGCAAACACCUGUGCUGUGGUUCCUGUCCAGCCUGAUGCCAUCAGUGUAACAAAAACUGUGGUUUCAGCUGAGCUCCUUCUAUACAUUAGUUCAGAGUGCAAAAACCAUCCAGCAGAACCAGGACCUGUGGAGGAGAUGACCAGGGCUGAACAAGAAUGGUGGUUAUCUCCUUAAAAAAAAAAAGAAAAGAUUGCCUAUAAGGCAAACACACACGAUACAGCUGCCUGCAGCCUGCUAGGCCAGGAAAACAAAUUAGGAACAUUGGACUUCUAGUGCCUUGGCUUUCAGAAAUGUAUCUCCAUAAUCUCAUUUUCUGAAUGAUUUCUGAAUUUAUGUACUUCGUAAUGUGCAACUACUACUACUAAAUACAUCAUACCAAACCAACACUUAUGCUUUCUUUGCUCUAUUCAUUAAUUUUGCUCUUUUAACAGAUCAGCUCCCAGCCUCCAGAAAUUGCAUCUUAUGGUAACAUUGGGUAUUAGUAAUGUACAAAAUCUGGAGACUUUUCUAAUAUGCCCCUGCAUUCCAGUGUGCUGCUCUUUUAUUCAGCUAAACAUAUUAUGGCCUUGUGCUUCUCUCUUUCACUCAUGACAGAAAGGAGACAUAAUUUUGUUUUGUUAAUACCUUGUAAAAUAUUAUUUUUCCUACUGGACAACAAGAGCCCUGAGCUUCCACUGAACUCUGUAGUAAUGGGGGAUGCUUAUAAAACUAAGUCUGAAUUCUCAGCUAAGUGAAGCAUUUGGGAUUUAUUUCAGUCCCACUGAAAUCAGUGGGAGAUAAAAAGAACUUUAAACAAACAUUUGGGUGCUUUGCCAAAUGCAGUUAAAAUGCUGAACAUAGGUCUCAACAAGAAACUGUUUUCUAUUUCUUACCGUGAUAACGUAUUUUGACACACUGUUAUGGUACCAAGUCAGCCAUAUCAUCUUUAACACAUUACAACCAAGAGAGAAGCCAGCCUGCUGCACUAAAAUUCACAAAUAAGGAAAUACUCAUCUUUGAGUGGUAUUUCUGAAAAUCAGCGACACCCAUUUUUACAUGAAAAGUACAAUGCCUCUGUGCCCCAAGAAGUCUUUCACUUGUGUGUCUGCAGGGAAGCUCAGGCCAGGAGUUGGGCAGCCAGGUGCACAGACUCCAGACAGAUGUUCUGCCCAUUCCAUGUGAGGCAGAAUUCCAUGUGAGAGGCCCUUUAGGUGCCCUUGUGUGUGAGCAUGCCUGAGGAGUAGAGGAGCUCAUUGUGGCACCACAAGAUCUCCUGCAGACUGCUGUGGCUUUGUCCAGAAGGUUUGUAAAGCCACGGCUAUCUUCCCCCAGAUAGAUCCUUUUGGUGUUUGCUUUUUACUAUUUUUAGUCUACGGUUUCACUUUUACAAAUCUUGGAUUUUGUUCUGCAUUGCAUCCUUACAGCUACAGGACUGAAUAUUUUCUUGCUGUUCCUGCAGUUUCUUUUGUCUUUGCAAAUUUUGGAAUUUAUUUGAAUUGUUCCUUAGAGUGUUUGUGGUAAUAAAUCUUUGUCUAGUUGAUAGUUACUCCCCUCAAAUUCAGAUACCAAAGCAGCAGCUGUUCUAGAAAUCUCUGAAUGUAGUGUUGUGAUUGUCACGUAUUUGUGGAAUUCAUAGAACCACAGAAUGGUUUGUGUUGGAGAGAGUCUUAAAGAUCAUCUGGUUCCACCUCCUCUGCCAUGGGC
Molecule: long non-coding RNA, 3733 nt
Organism: Zonotrichia albicollis (white-throated sparrow)
Lineage: Eukaryota; Metazoa; Chordata; Aves; Passeriformes; Passerellidae
Source: RefSeq, a predicted model, not a curated record